Tyto alba (common barn owl) is the source of this 1390-nucleotide long non-coding RNA. RefSeq lists it as uncharacterized. The transcript has 2 exons. The record is from RefSeq and is a predicted model, not a curated record. NCBI's taxonomy places the organism in Eukaryota, Metazoa, Chordata, Aves, Strigiformes, Tytonidae.
CUGCGGCGGAGCGCAGGUGAGGCGCGGGGGGGGGUGUCUGCGCAUGCGCGGGGGCCGGCGCCCCGCGGGGCUCAGGUGAGGCGGCGCGCGCGUGUAGCCUGGCGCGCGGCGGGAAGGCGCCGGCUCCCCUCAGUGGGGCCGACCGUUACUCCGCUGAGGUAAUUAGGGAAGGCCGCCCUAAUUGCAGUCAGCUGAGCCGGGCAAGCUGUGGCGAGUGCUCCGCCGAGCUGCGGCUAACCCCGGCCCACGCCUCGCCUCGCCUCCGUCGCUCUGGUGAAGGCCGCCGGUCGCAGCUCUGCCGCUGGCAGCUGGGAGAAUAAUCGUCGUGAUGGGAGCCGGGUCGGCGUGAGGCUUCGGGGCCCUGGUCCUCACGGAUAAGUGGGGUUAAUGCUUCACACAGCGGCUGCGGCCACGGGAUGGGAGACGCCUUGAAAGGGUCGUGUGUCGUGUAGGGUGAUAGAGCUGCCCCUCAGGAGACAGGUGCUGCCCAAGGACCCUGCAGAGAACAGGCCCUGGCCCACUAGGAAAACAAGCCAAGGCUGAGAAGAGAAACAGGCAUGGACAGGGCACUGACGCCUUGCUGAUCCAGUCUGCACAAACCAGGUGAUUCUCAAAUUAAUGCUUUAUCUCUUAGGUAUCCUGCUAUGUCCUGCAGGAUUUGGGAUCCUCGCAGGCAAUGGGAAAGGAAGCAAAAGGAAAACAAAGGGUCUUUCCUGCUAGCUCUUGUCACAGGAAGCCCCGCACUGUCUGAGGGAUCCACCACCACUGAGUGCAGAGGUGCUGGACUUUGAGACUAUAUGAGAGCAAAGUAGAAGUUCAAGCAGAGGAAAUUCCUGUUCCCAUUCUCCCUUCUCCUUUACUAGUUCAGUGUAAAGCCACAAUUAAAGAUUAACUGCCUCCAAAUAACGUAUCAUCCAAGCUAACAUCCACCAGCAUCUCCUUGUGCCCAAGAUUAGACCUUUGGAGCAGCAGGAUACAGGCAGAGUUGACAUGCAACAAACAACAGAGAGGCAGAACUGCAGACUGAAGUACCUACUGCGGGUACCGGUAGGUUUAACUCUGCCCUUCUGAAAAGACACACCGGGCCCUCCCUGACAAGGAUUUUAAUGGUGCAAGCACCUGCGUGCUGAGGGGCAGCUCUUCAGGGUCCCGGCAUGGCUAUCUCAUUUCACCAUGGUUUUACAGGGCCUUGUGCAUUAAGGGCUUGAGCUCAGCCUGGACAGGACAGCAGUAACAGCCUUGUAUAAUACAGAAGAGCCUGGUAGAUCCAUGUGUGGGUUAUUAACUUUGGGAUACUGGGGGUGGGGUGGUAGCAUGACUAUUAUCAGAGCCAUCAGCCUCUGCAUAAAAAUCAUGCCACAAAAAAAAUAAUAAAAAGUUCUCUUGGGGA